Molecule: long non-coding RNA, 2387 nt
Organism: Papaver somniferum (opium poppy)
Lineage: Eukaryota; Viridiplantae; Streptophyta; Magnoliopsida; Ranunculales; Papaveraceae
Exons: 5
Source: RefSeq, a predicted model, not a curated record
UGCUGCCGCUUCUUCUCUGCCUCACCUCCUUCAACUCUCUUUCGAUGUCUCCAAUUUUCUUCCUCUUCCUCUUGAUUCCACCACCACCAUCCCAAGACUCUCUCAAUCUGUCUCUCAAAGAGAGAUCUGAAAUUUGUCUAGGAUAAAGAAAACAACGGUUUACUGUAUGAGCUUGGGUAAGAACAAGUAUGUCAGGAUGAAAGUACUUCUGCCGCGCCACGGACGAUAAGGAGUAUGACAGUCUUUAAAGGAGAGGGUUAUGUGGUUCAUGAGGAUCUUCUAAAGAGUAAAAAUUCUCAAGGACACCAAAUACAGCAACAUGGAUGAAAACACUAGAGAAGUUGCAAAGCGUAUUGGAUCCGAAAUCUAAAAUGAUGACCUCAAGACCUAUUUUGGGAAUGCCAUAGAGAAUUGGCUGAUUGAGUACCUAUUUGAGUGCAGUCAGAUCACAAUUACUGUACCAGCUAAAAAAGAGAUAGAGAAUGUACUAGCGCUGAGUGCUCUACUCAAGCAAAUUACAUUAAGAUUUAGGUGAAGGAAAAUUGUGGUCUCUGCUCUGCACAAGUUGACAGGAUUUGGGCCGGAAAAGUUGAUUCACAAUUAUUACUGGCUCUUAAUGAAUCUCAAAGGAAGUGGUAUUGGGUACUAUAUCUGCAGUGUAUUGUAACCACAGGUCAACUGUGAAACUUGUUUGGGGUCCACCUGCGACAGGAAAAACCAAAAUCAUCAGUAUAUUACUGUAUAGCUUGCUAAGUAUGAAUUGCAGAACACUUGCUUGUGCCCCAAAAAAACAGUGCCGCUGCUGAACAUGCGCCGCAUAUCUUAAACCUUCACAAAGAUGCUUCCGGAUUGAAGUUAUGUGAUGAUCUUGGAAAGAUUUAUGUGGAUCAUCGUGAGGACAGUCUUCUCGAGUGUUUUGCUCCAUUAACUGGUUGGAAGAAACAUUUCGAUUCCAUGGUAUUUUAUUGAAAAUUGUGCAUCUCGGAAUCGUUUACCUUUGGAGAAUGAAGUAAUUACAGAGGUUCAUUACAAGUUUGCAAAAGACCGAUUGAGAGCUUUUAGCUGUACCCGUCAAGAGAAGCAUCAGAGUAUUAUGCAUCCAUCUCCCUAAAAGAUUUUUAUUUGCCGGAGAAUCUUGAAAAGAUGGUUACUGUUUGUGGUUUGCUUGAAUCUUUUGAAAUUUUGCUCUCUCAAAGUCGGGUAACUGGCUAGGAAUUAGAGGAACUCUUUGCACGCCAAGAAAAUUAUUUCAAGGAGGCACAAGGAAGUCGGGCAUCGAAUGAGGAUUGAAAGUGCAGGUCCUAAGAUAUGUCAGUCAUUCUCUUGCUGAUCGCCUUCCAAGUUCCAGCAACAGAAGUUUCUUAACAGAGUUCUGUUUGAAAAAUUCAUCCCUCAUUUUUUGCACAGUGUCAAGCUCAUACAAUCUGCAAGAGGUAGACCUAGAACCACUGGAUUUGUUGGUAGUUGAUGAAGCUGCUCAGUUGAAAGAGUGUGAAUCAGUGAUUCCCAUGCAGCUUGAAUCUAUACAACACGCUGUCCUAAUUGGCGAUGAGUGCCAUCCACAAGCUAGAGUCAAAAGCAGGGUAUCUGACAAAGCUGGCUUUGGAAGAAGUCUAUUUGGAAGGUUGGGCUUUUUUGGGCAUUCAGAGGACCUUCCCAACAUGCAGUACAGAAUGCAUCCUAAAAUAAGCUCUUUCCCAAACCACAAAUUUUAUAAAGACCAGAUUAGAGAUGUUUGAAGUGUUGUUUGAGAAAAUCUUCAAUAUUUAUCUACCGGGACCUAUGUUUGGUCCCUACUCAUUCAGAAAGUGAACAUCCAAUAGCACUAGGAGAAAGAGUGUUGAUUUUGUUUUUACAGAGAGAAAAAUUGGAAAAUCCACUUAAAUAUACACUCUCUCUACUAGUGCUAUUGGUUGUUCACUUGCUCGAAUGAAAAGACCCAUAUUUCUAAUGAAGGGAGGAGCUAGAUGAAGCUGGGCAUAGUAUGAAAAAUAUGGUUGACGUGGCAGUUGUAACGGCAAUAGUGCGAAACCUUUAUAAAGGAACUGAUGGCCGAUUCUGAAGUUCCGGAAGGCAUAUAUUCACGGGCCCGCAUCGAGGAGUUAGACUCUAAAUGUCUGUGGCUGGGAGCAAAUGUCGUGCUAGAAUACACAGGUGCAGAGGUCCGUUUGUUGAGAAUUUUUUCUUUUAGUAGUACUGCAGUACCAGUAUUCAGGAUAAGAGCACAAAACUGUUCUUUUUGACAUGAUGUCACUCUUCUGGACCCUUGGACACAUAGAUGUUAGCAUGUCCUCGAGGGUGUAUCUUAUGGAAACUUUUUAAAAGAAAUGUUAGUGACCUGUGGUGGUUAUAGAUAAAUCUUGUAUAAACUCUUAGUUAGAUAUGCA